UGGGCACGAAUGGUUAACAGCCUGACUGGGAGCUGAGAAUGUUUUGCCACGGGCAUUGCACCUGCGAGUUGGUUGGUUUGUACAGGCAUGUUGUUCGUCUGACUGCCUUCCAUGAACAUGCAGAGCUCCAGCGUCCGCACGUUCUCUAGUAUGUUCACGUUGAUGCUCUGGUUGAGUCACACAGUGGCGAGCAGGCUGGUUGGAGCUGUGAAGAGUCUUGUCUCAAGCGUUGCGUUUUAAAGGCUUCAGUCUGCAAGCUCCGCUGAAACCUCUUCAGCAUCAAAGCCACAUGGCAACCUGCAGUGAUAGACGAGUGGUGGCUCAGCAUGCGGGGCAUUGGCUGGGAAUCGAGGCCAAGUUGCCCGCAUGGAAGCUGAAGACUCCAGUGAAAAAAGCAAAGGCAGAACUUGUUUUCUUUUGGAAACAAAACAGUUCUAGUGGAAGCAACACAAAAAUCACCACGAUCUAAACCAGUCGCUGGGUGUCCUUUCUUACUCGAUAAGAGGAGUGUUCUCAUCAACAAUUCUGAGUUGAGGAAGGAAGAGGGAGAAGACGCAUAUGACAAGCCCUUUGACGUGAUCCACAAAACAUGAGAUUCAGAGGCACCUCUCUUCCCAGUUUGCCUGCUACAUAAGGUCCUGUGGCAUGUCAGAGUCACUCACACACAUAGAACACCCCCCCAACACCCCAUCCAAAGAGUUAAAUUUGCAUCCAGCCCAUCUG
This is a long non-coding RNA of Trichechus manatus latirostris (Florida manatee), 723 nucleotides long. RefSeq lists it as uncharacterized. The record is from RefSeq and is a predicted model, not a curated record. NCBI's taxonomy places the organism in Eukaryota, Metazoa, Chordata, Mammalia, Sirenia, Trichechidae. The transcript is spliced from 3 exons.